UAAAGUCAAUAAUACCUUGAAG
Molecule: microRNA, 22 nt
Filed under: Arabidopsis thaliana (thale cress)
Lineage: Eukaryota; Viridiplantae; Streptophyta; Magnoliopsida; Brassicales; Brassicaceae
Description: ath-miR864-3p
Gene: ath-miR864-3p
Source: miRBase by way of RNAcentral